UGGGGAAUAUUGCACAAUGGGGGGAACCCUGAUGCAGCGACGCCGCGUGAGCGAAGAAGUACCUCGGUAUGUAAAGCUCUAUCAGCAGGGAAGAAAAUGGACGGUACCUGACUAAGAAGCCCCGGCUAAAUACGUGCCAGCAGCCGCGGUAAUACGUAUGGGGCAAGCGUUAUCCGGAUUUACUGGGUGUAAAGGGAGCGCAGGCGGCGCGCCAAGUCUGGUGUGAAAUACCGGGGCCCAACCCCGGGGCUGCAUUGGAAACUGGCGUGCUGGAGUGUCGGAGGGGCAGGCGGAAUUCCUGGUGUAGCGGUGAAAUGCGUAGAUAUCAGGAGGAACACCGGUGGCGAAGGCGGCCUGCUGGACGACGACUGACGCUGAGGCUCGAAAGCGUGGGGAGCAAACAGG
Molecule: ribosomal RNA, 405 nt
Filed under: uncultured bacterium
Lineage: Bacteria
Description: bacterial SSU rRNA
Rfam family: Bacterial small subunit ribosomal RNA
Source: RNAcentral